GUACUAGUCAUCUGUGUUUAUUUCACAAACCAACUACUAACACACAACUUGACUAAAGAAAGAGAAGAGUUACUAACACACAACUAUAACCACAUAAAAAACAAAAGUGAUGAACUUCAAGAUGCCUUACAAGAGAAAACCCAGCUAAUACUCCAGAUCAAUAACUUAACCAAAGAAAGAGAUGAGUUAAUGAAUGAAAGAGAAGAACUGAAGAGAUGGCUUACUGAACAAGAUCGGCGCUCUGAUAACUUUUGGAUUUACUACAACUUCAGUUUUUAUUACAUUUCAUCUGUGUGGAGUAGCAGGAGUGACAGCAGACAAGACUGUGAACAGAGAGGAGCAAAUCUGCUGAUUAUAAACAACAAAG
Molecule: long non-coding RNA, 367 nt
Organism: Paramisgurnus dabryanus
Lineage: Eukaryota; Metazoa; Chordata; Actinopteri; Cypriniformes; Cobitidae
Source: RefSeq, a predicted model, not a curated record